Molecule: ribosomal RNA, 510 nt
Filed under: uncultured Glomus
Lineage: Eukaryota; Fungi; Glomeromycota; Glomeromycetes; Glomerales; Glomeraceae
Description: SSU rRNA
Rfam family: Eukaryotic small subunit ribosomal RNA
Source: RNAcentral
AGCAGCCGCGGUAAUUCCAGCUCCAAUAGCGUAUAUUAAAGUUGUUGCAGUUAAAAAGCUCGUAGUUGAAUUUCGGGGUUAGCAGGUCGGUCGUGCCAUCGGUAUGAACUGGUCUCGCUGAUCCCUCCCUCUUGACGAACUGUGAUGCCAUUAAUUUGGUGUCGCAGGGAAUCAGGACUGUUACUUUGAAAAAUUAGAGUGUUUAAAGCAGGCUCACGCUUGAAUACAUUAGCAUGGAAUAAUGAAAUAGGACGUUUGAUCCUAUUUUGUUGGUUUCUAGGAUUGACGUAAUGAUUAAUAGGGAUAGUUGGGGGCAUUAGUAUUCAAUUGUCAGAGGUGAAAUUCUUGGAUUUAUUGAAGACUAACUACUGCGAAAGCAUUUGCCAAGGAUGUUUUCAUUAAUCAAGAACGAAAGUUAGGGGAUCGAAGACGAUCAGAUACCGUCGUAGUCUUAACCAUAAACUAUAGCCGACUAGGGAUCGGAUGAUGUUAAUUUUUAAUGACUCAUUC